AACAAACGCUGGCGGCGUGCCUAAUACAUGCAAGUCGAACGGGGAAAGCUUUCGGGUGAGUACUAGUGGCGCACGGGUGAGGAACGCGUGGGUAAUUUUCCUUGAAGUGGGGGAUAACUAGUCGAAAGAUUAGCUAAUACCGCAUAAGACCACGAAAUCUGAGGAUUUUGAGGUAAAAGGUUUUUCGCUUCAAGAUAAGCCCGCGUAAGAUUAGCUAGUUGGUGAGGUAAUGGCUCACCAAGGCGACGAUCUUUAGCUGGUCUGAGAGGAUGAUCAGCCACACUGGAACUGAGACACGGUCCAGACUCCUACGGGAGGCAGCAGUAGGGAAUAUUGCACAAUGGAGGAAACUCUGAUGCAGCGACGCCGCGUGAGUGAUGAAGGACUUCGGUUCGUAAAGCUCUGUCGCAUGGGAAUAAUAAAUGAAGGUACCAUGCAAGAAAGGAUCGGCUAACUUCGUGCCAGCCGCCGCCGUAA
This 477-nucleotide ribosomal RNA is filed under the name uncultured bacterium. RNAcentral's name for it is "partial 16S ribosomal RNA". It matches the Rfam family "Bacterial small subunit ribosomal RNA", at positions 29 to 523 of the family's 1533-position model. The record is from RNAcentral.